AAGUCGUAACAAGGUCUCCGUAGGUGAACCUGCGGAGGGAUCAUUAUCGAGUUAAACACCGGUCUUACGGGGCCGGUGCCAUCUCCAACCCUUUGUGAACACAUCCUGUUGCUUCGGGGGCGACCCUGCCGUUCGCGGCAUUCCCCCCGGAGGCCACCAAAACACUGCAUUCUUACGUCGGAGUAUAAAGUUAAUUUGAUAAAA
RNAcentral lists this unclassified non-coding RNA (204 nucleotides) under plant metagenome. Its description in RNAcentral is "partial contains small subunit ribosomal RNA and internal transcribed spacer 1". The stretch from base 1 to 46 matches the Rfam family "Eukaryotic small subunit ribosomal RNA", at positions 1786 to 1831 of the family's 1831-position model. The record is from RNAcentral.